RNAcentral lists this ribosomal RNA (254 nucleotides) under uncultured bacterium. Its description in RNAcentral is "partial 16S ribosomal RNA". It matches the Rfam family "Bacterial small subunit ribosomal RNA", at positions 524 to 776 of the family's 1533-position model. The record is from RNAcentral.
UACGUAGAGGGCAAGCGUUGUCCGGAAUCAUUGGGCGUAAAGAGCUCGUAGGCGGUGUGUCGCGUCGGUCGUGAAAACUUGGGGCUUAACCCUGAGCUUGCGGUCGAUACGGGCAUCACUGGAGUUCGGCAGGGGAGACUGGAAUUCCUGGUGUAGCGGUGAAAUGCGCAGAUAUCAGGAGGAACACCGGUGGCGAAGGCGGGUCUCUGGGCCGAUACUGACGCUGAGGAGCGAAAGCGUGGGGAGCGAACAGG